GAUGAACGCUGGCGGCGUGCCUAAUACAUGCAAGUCGAACGCUGAAGGAGGAGCUUGCUCUUGUGGAUGAGUUGCGAACGGGUGAGUAAUGCGUGGGUAACCUGCCUGGUAGCGGGGGAUAACUAUUGGAAACGAUAGCUAAUACCGCAUGACAACACUUAUUGCAUGAUAACUGUUUAAAAGUGGCAACUGCUCCACUACCAGAUGGACCUUCGUAGUAUUAGCUAGUUGUUGAGGUAACGCCUCACCAAGGCGACGAUACAUAGCCGACAGGAGAGGGUGAUCGGCCACACUGGGACUGAGACACGGCACAGAGUCCUACGGGAGGCGGCAGUAGGGAAACUUCGGCAAUGGGCGGAAGUCUGACCGAGCAACGCCGAGGGAGUGAAGAGGGUUUUCGGAUCGUAAAGGUCUGUUGUAAGGGAGGAACGAGUGUGAGAGUGGAAAGUUCACACUGUGACGGUAUCUUACCAGAAAGGGACGGCUAACUACGUG
Molecule: ribosomal RNA, 495 nt
Filed under: uncultured bacterium
Lineage: Bacteria
Description: partial 16S ribosomal RNA
Rfam family: Bacterial small subunit ribosomal RNA
Source: RNAcentral